UGUGGGUAGUUAUCUUGGUUAGUGGCACUAUAGCCUUAGGAAGCGGCACGGUUGGGGUUUUGUUGGCAACAUUGACAUAAAUAAAGGAAAAUGUACGCUCACCACGCUGCACCUUGGUCCGGUCAUUUCCAAGACGACGGCCGCGACACCGAUAUUCGUUACAAUACUCAUUUUGUCCGACUACUCGGUACACCUCUAGUAAAUAUCUCCUGCUCCGUGUUAGCUGAUCUUCGGCUUGUUUUCAAAGAUGUCCUGCUUCCUGGUGGAAGGGAAUGAGGAGACAGAUUUUUAAAUCAACUGCGUAUAUACAACACCAAAUAUGGCUGUGGCAGAAGGCGUAGAUGACCAGAGCCUUACCCAGCACGCCCAACAUGAGGAUGACGGAGAGGAUGAUUUAGAGCGCAUGUCAAAUGUAUAUAUUUUUUUUUGUAAUUGUGUGGUAUACAUUUUAUAGCAAUCUAAAUAUUUAUUGAAAGUGUGUUUUUAAAUAUAUUUUGUUCUCAAAGCUAUUUCAAAUAAAUUACAAUAAAGAGAAUGUAUUUUUUUUUUUUUGUCUCUCAGCUCCAUGUCCAAAUGCAGCAGGGUGGCAAGGUUGUACAACAGUUUGUUUGUGCUUUGUUCUGCCGUCCCCCAGGACCGAGUUCUGCCGGCCCCCAGGGCCGAGUUUGGGAAACACUGGGCUAAAGCACAAACCGACUGGAACACCAACCUAGUGAAAUGUUGAUGUGUACCAUCACAUAUUGGUUUUCAUAGUUAGUAUGACCUUUUAUUUAGUAACCCAGCGCUGGGUAAAUACUGGAUAGGACACACAUGGGGUUAUUUUGACCCAGCUAGUUGGGUUGAGUGAAUAGUAUAAUCUGUAUAGCACUUUUUUUUAUAUAGGCUGUGUAGUUAUUCUUAAGGCUGAGGUAAUUAAACCGCAAUCCCACAUUGUCACUUAGCCCCAUUUGACCCAUACUAUACAAUGAUAUAAAGGUUCUCUGAAAAAGGUUUCUUAUGUUCACCAUAGAGUAAGGCUUUAC
This is a long non-coding RNA of Oncorhynchus tshawytscha (Chinook salmon), 1022 nucleotides long. The record is from Ensembl. Lineage: Eukaryota; Metazoa; Chordata; Actinopteri; Salmoniformes; Salmonidae.